GAUGACGAACAAUGACGACCCCGAUACCAUUCACUUUCGAUUAGGCAGUCUAGUUCGUUCGAUGAGUGUCCCAGAGUUUGGAGUUGCUCUGGGACUUUACACCGAUGAGUUUAUAGAGGAGGAGGACAUGAAUGUACUACCACGCAACAUCCACAUCUCCCCCUCCUUGUGCUGGAAGGCUUUGGCACCACUCUCUUCCAAC
RNAcentral lists this long non-coding RNA (202 nucleotides) under Gossypium barbadense (sea-island cotton). Its description in RNAcentral is "long non-coding RNA (GBAR_LNC004034)". The record is from RNAcentral. Lineage: Eukaryota; Viridiplantae; Streptophyta; Magnoliopsida; Malvales; Malvaceae.